RNAcentral lists this ribosomal RNA (303 nucleotides) under uncultured bacterium. Its description in RNAcentral is "partial 16S ribosomal RNA". It matches the Rfam family "Bacterial small subunit ribosomal RNA", at positions 507 to 807 of the family's 1533-position model. The record is from RNAcentral.
AGCAGUCGCCACGGUAAUACGUAGGGUGCGAGCGUUAAUCGGAAUUACUGGGCGUAAAGCGUGCGCAGGCGGUUCGUUAAGACAGAUGUGAAAUCCCCGGGCUUAACCUGGGAACUGCAUUUGUGACUGGCGAGCUAGAGUAUGGCAGAGGGGGGUAGAAUUCCACGUGUAGCAGUGAAAUGCGUAGAGAUGUGGAGGAAUACCGAUGGCGAAGGCAGCCCCCUGGGCCAAUACUGACGCUCAUGCACGAAAGCGUGGGGAGCAAACAGGAUUAGAUACCCGUGUAGUCCCUGUCUCUUAUAC